UUUUGACCUCAAAUCAGGUAGGACUACCCGCUGAACUUAAGCAUAUCAAUAAGCGGAGGAAAAGAAACUAACAAGGAUUCCCCUAGUAACUGCGAGUGAAGAGGGAAAAGCUCAAAUUUGAAAUCUGGCAGUCUCUGGCUGUC
This 143-nucleotide ribosomal RNA is filed under the name Moniliophthora roreri. RNAcentral's name for it is "partial large subunit ribosomal RNA". It matches the Rfam family "Eukaryotic large subunit ribosomal RNA", at positions 1 to 139 of the family's 3401-position model. The record is from RNAcentral. Lineage: Eukaryota; Fungi; Basidiomycota; Agaricomycetes; Agaricales; Marasmiaceae.